This 123-nucleotide ribosomal RNA is filed under the name uncultured bacterium. RNAcentral describes it as "partial 16S ribosomal RNA". The record is from RNAcentral.
GGUACUGUCAUUAUCUCCCUGGUAAAAGAACUUUACGACCCUAAGGCCUUCAUCACUCACGCGGCAUUGCUGGAUCAGGGUUGCCCCCAUUGGGCAAUAUUCCCCACUGCUGCCUCCCGUAGG